This 21-nucleotide unclassified non-coding RNA is filed under the name Mus musculus (house mouse). RNAcentral's name for it is "oocyte_clustered_small_RNA13942". The record is from RNAcentral. Lineage: Eukaryota; Metazoa; Chordata; Mammalia; Rodentia; Muridae.
CGCUUGAUGCCAUCUCCUGUA